GGAUAGCGGAGAAAUUCCAAUCGAACUCGGAGAUAGCUGGUUCUCCUCGAAAUAGCUUUAGGGCUAGCCUUGAGGUAAAGUCUAAUGGAGGUAAAGCACUGAUUGGACGCGGGUCCCCAAAAGGAUACCAACUUCUAUCAAACUCAGAAUGCCAUAUAGAUAUACUCAGGAGUCAGACUAUGUGAGAUAAGUUUCAUAGUCAAAAGGGAAAGAGCCCAGACCGACAGCUAAGGUCCCAAAGUGUGUGUUAAGUGGAAAAGGAUGUUAGGUUUCUAAGACAACUAGGAUGUUGGCUCAGAAGCAGCCACUCAUUUAAAGAGUGCGUAACAGCUCACUAGUCGAGAGGUCUAGCGCCGAAAAUGUCCGGGGCUAAAACACACCACCGAAGCUACGGAAUUACCUAUGGUAAUUGGUAGAGGAGCAUUCUGUAAGGAUGAAGCACAAUUGAAAGAGAGUGUGGACGAAACAGAAGAGAGAAUGCCGGAAUGAGUAGCGAGAUAUAUGUGAGAAUCAUAUAGGUCGAAUGUCUAAGGUUUCCUGGGUAAAGCUGAUCUGCUCAGGGUAAGUCGGGACCUAAGGUGAGGGCGAGAGCCGUAAUCGAUGGACAACAGGUAGAAAUUCCUGUACUACGUAUAAUCAGAACUGUGGGGACGCAGGAGGAUAGGAAAACCGGAGAAUGGAAAUAUCCGGCUAAGUACAAAGGUGUGAGUGAUAGGCAAAUCCGUCACUAUUAGCUGAAGUACGAAUGGGAGCGAAGAAAAGUAGCGAAGUUUCUGAAUCCACACUGUCAAGAAAAGCCGCUAUUGCGUUAUACGUACCCGUACCGCAAACCGACACAGGUAGACGAGGAGAAAAUCCACAGACCGACGGGAGAAGUGUUGUUAAGGAACUCGGCAAAAUGACCCCGUAACUUAGGGAUAAGGGGAGCCAACGCAAGUUGGUCACAGAAAAGAGGCUCAAGCGACUGUUUAGCAAAAACAUAGGUCUAUGCGAAACCGUAAGGUGAUGUAUAUGGGCUGACACCUGCCCGGUGCUGGAAGGUCAAAAGGAGAGGUUAGCGCAAGCGAAGCUUUGAAUUCAAGCCCCAGUAAACGGCGGCCGUAACUAUAACGGUCCUAAGGUAGCGAAAUUCCUUGUCAGGUAAGUUCUGACCCGCACGAAAGGUGUAACGAUUUGAGCACUGUCUCGACAACACGCCCGGUGAAAUUGAAGAACCAGUGAAGAUACUGGUUACCCGCAACAGGACGGAAAGACCCCAUGGAGCUUUACUGCAGCUUAAUAUUGGGAUUCGGUAUUGUAUGUACAGGAUAGGAGGGAGACUAAGAAGCUAGCACGCCAGUGUUGGUGGAGUCGAUGGUGGGAUACCUCUCUUAUAAUACUGAAUUUCUAACCUACUUCCGUGAUCCGGGAGAGGGACAUUGUUAGGCGGGCAGUUUGACUGGGGCGGUCGCCUCCGAAAGAGUAACGGAGGCGCUCAAAGGUCUUCUCAGAAUGAUUGGAAACCAUUCAAAGAGUGUAAAGGCAAAAGAAGGCUUGACUGCGAGGUCGACGGACCGAGCAGGUACGAAAGUAGGACUUAGUGAUCCGGUGGUAAUAAGUGGGAAUGCCAUCGCUCAACGGAUAAAAGCUACCCUGGGGAUAACAGGCUUAUCUCCCCCAAGAGUUCACAUCGACGGGGAGGUUUGGCACCUCGAUGUCGGCUCAUCGCAUCCUGGGGCUG
Molecule: ribosomal RNA, 1720 nt
Filed under: human gut metagenome
Description: bacterial LSU rRNA
Rfam family: Bacterial large subunit ribosomal RNA
Source: RNAcentral